ACAUCAGUGAGGUGUAUCCUUACCUGUUACCUUAGAAUUAAGUUUUCAGUUCAUGAUGUUUGGAUUCUAUCAAUGUAUGAUUAAUUUCUGCAUUUAUUUUUGGCUGCAACUCCUAAAUAAAUCCUAUCUGAU
Triplophysa dalaica is the source of this 132-nucleotide small nucleolar RNA. RefSeq annotates it as U8 small nucleolar RNA. The record is from RefSeq and is a predicted model, not a curated record. The transcript has a single exon. Lineage: Eukaryota; Metazoa; Chordata; Actinopteri; Cypriniformes; Nemacheilidae.